RNAcentral lists this ribosomal RNA (486 nucleotides) under uncultured bacterium. RNAcentral's name for it is "bacterial SSU rRNA". It matches the Rfam family "Bacterial small subunit ribosomal RNA", at positions 31 to 507 of the family's 1533-position model. The record is from RNAcentral.
GAACGCUAGCUACAGGCUUAACACAUGCAAGUCGAGGGGCANCGGGAUUGAAGCUUGCUUCAAUUGCCGGCGACCGGCGCACGGGUGAGUAACGCGUAUCCAACCUUCCGUACACUCAGGGAUAGCCUUUCGAAAGAAAGAUUAAUACCUGAUGGUAUGAUGAGAUUGCAUGAUAGCAUCAUUAAAGAUUUAUCGGUGAUGGAUGGGGAUGCGUCUGAUUAGCUUGUUGCGGGGUAACGGCCCACCAAGGCGACGAUCAGUAGGGGUUCUGAGAGGAAGGUCCCCCACAUUGGAACUGAGACACGGUCCAAACUCCUACGGGAGGCAGCAGUGAGGAAUAUUGGUCAAUGGACGAGAGUCUGAACCAGCCAAGUAGCGUGCAGGAUGACGGCCCUAUGGGUUGUAAACUGCUUUUAUAAGGGAAUAAAGUGAGUCUCGUGAGACUUUUUGCAUGUACCUUAUGAAUAAGGACCGGCUAAUUCCGUG